This 599-nucleotide ribosomal RNA is filed under the name Ascomycota sp. DA-Y17. Its description in RNAcentral is "partial 26S ribosomal RNA". It matches the Rfam family "Eukaryotic large subunit ribosomal RNA", at positions 67 to 673 of the family's 3401-position model. The record is from RNAcentral. Lineage: Eukaryota; Fungi; Ascomycota.
AACGGGCCCUUGCCUCAGCAACGGCGAGUGCAGCGGCAAAAGCUCAAAUUUGAAAUCUGAGGCUUUCCGCCCCCGAGUUGGAAUUUUGAGAAGGGGGUUUGGUGGCGGCCCCCUGGCCACCUUCCUUGGAACCGGGCAUUCCAAAAGGGGAAAAUCCCGUCUGGGGGGGCGGCCUGGCUCCCUGGAAAACGCCCUCCACCAAUCCAGUUGUUUGGGAAUGGCACUUUUAAUGGGUGGGAAAUUUCCUCCAAAGCUAAAUAUUGGCGAAAAAACCAAAACGAAAAAAUUCCGUGGUGGAAAAAAGAAAAAAAAUUUUAAAAAAAAAUGGAAAAAUUCCUGAAAUUGGUUAAAGGGAAAGGUAUUGGAUCCAAAUUGGUGGUGUGGGAAUAACGGCCCUUCCUGGGCCGCCCCCCUCCCCCCCCCCCGGGCCACCAUCGGUUUGGGCGGCAAAAAAAGGGCGGGGGAACGGGGCCCUGCUCCCGGGCAGGGGGUUUUUACCCCCCCCUAAUUUUGCCUGCCUAAACCAAGGACGGCGGCUUCUGCCUAGGAUGCUGGGGUAAUGAUCCAACCCCCCCCGUCUGAAAAAAAAAACACAAAAA